CCUGGCUCAGGAGUGAACGCUAGCUACAGGCUAACACAUGCAAGUCGAGGGGUAGCAGGGUAGCAAUACCGCUGACGACCGGCGCACGGGUGAGUAACACGUAUCCAACCUUCCCAUAACUCAGGGAUAGCCUUUCGAAAGAAAGAUUAAUACCUGAUAGUACUUUUUCAAGGCAUCUUGAGAAAGUUAAAGAUUUAUUGGUUAUGGAUGGGGAUGCGUUCCAUUAGAUAGUUGGUGAGGUAACGGCUCACCAAGUCUUCGAUGGAUAGGGGUUCUGAGAGGAAGGUCCCCCACAUUGGUACUGAGACACGGACCAAACUCCUACGGGAGGCAGCAGUGAGGAAUAUUGGUCAAUGGGCGAGAGCCUGAACCAGCCAAGUAGCGUGAAGGAUGAAGGUCCUAUGGAUUGUAAACUUCUUUUAUAGUAGAAUAAAGUGAUCCACGUGUGGAUUUUUGUAUGUAUACUAUGAAUAAGGAUCGGCUAACUCCGUGCCAGCCGCAGC
RNAcentral lists this ribosomal RNA (503 nucleotides) under uncultured bacterium. Its description in RNAcentral is "bacterial SSU rRNA". It matches the Rfam family "Bacterial small subunit ribosomal RNA", at positions 18 to 518 of the family's 1533-position model. The record is from RNAcentral.